Molecule: ribosomal RNA, 253 nt
Filed under: uncultured bacterium
Lineage: Bacteria
Description: partial 16S ribosomal RNA
Rfam family: Bacterial small subunit ribosomal RNA
Source: RNAcentral
GACGAACCACACGAACGUUAUUCGGACUUACUGGGCUUAACGGGUGCGUAGGCGGCGCAUAAAGUUGGGUGUGAAAUCCCUCGGCUCAACCGAGGAACUGCGCCCAAAACUACUGUGCUUGAGGAAGAUAGAGGUAAGCGGAACUUACGGUGGAGCGGUGAAAUGCGUUGAUAUCGUAAGGAACACCUGUGGCGAAAGCGGCUUACUGGGUCUUUUCUGACGCUGAUGCACGAAAGCCAGGGGAGCAAACGGG